RNAcentral lists this long non-coding RNA (18609 nucleotides) under Olea europaea (common olive). RNAcentral describes it as "long non-coding RNA (OEUR_LNC002482)". The record is from RNAcentral. Lineage: Eukaryota; Viridiplantae; Streptophyta; Magnoliopsida; Lamiales; Oleaceae.
AUUCAUGUUCGACUUUUACUACUUAUUGAAAUUCUAUAAUGUUGAGAUUUUUACUUUUCUUAUGCAGAUUCUUCGUCAAUUGUGUUUUCUUGAUUUAAUUUUAUGUACAGUAUUUCGCUUGAAAGAAAAUUGCAGCAUUGGUCACCUUUUAUGUGUUAAUAAAGCAUCAUGACCCUUUGGUGGGUUGAUCAAUUGCAUUAAGUAAUAGAUGAAGGAUCCAUCUUAUCCACAAGUGCAUUUGCCUUUCGAUUCCGUCAUCAAAUCUACACAGUCUAGUGGAUUGGAUAGAGUUUGAUCAUGGCUUAGAAUGAACAUAAGUUCUAUGCUUAACACAUGCGAGUCGACAACAUCCUGCUUUCUAGUCUCCCUUUCAAACUUGUAUUAGGAUAUUGGGGAAUAACAUUUUAUGAUGUACUAAUAUCUUAAGCAAAGUACAUUUCGUAGCUUAAGUGAAUAUAUCAAAUAGGGUAAAUAGCAUAAAACAUCUCUAUAUUUCAAUGUUAUUGUGCAAAACGUUCAUACAUUUUAUUUUUAGACAUUUUCACCCUAUUUGCCACCUUUCAUUGCGCAAAAAUGUCAUUUUCAUCCAUUUUCCAAUAAAAAGACAAUUUUACCCUUGUAUUCAAAUAAAACAAAAAAAAAAAUAAAUAAAAGAACUCAAUAGCAACAAUAGUGCCAAAUUUUCAAAAAUUACAAAUUACUCACAAAUAUAUAAUUAAAAAUCAAAAUUCUUGUUUAUUUAUUUAGUGGAGGAAGAACAUGACUAAUUUUUGUUUAUUUAGUUUUUAUUUUUAAUUAUAUAUUUGUGAUUAAUUUGUAAUUUUUUGAAAAUUUGGGACUAUUGUUGCAAUUAGUUCAUUUCAUUUCAUUUUGCUUUAUUUGAAUAGGCGGGUAAAAUCGUCUUUUUAUUGGAAAAAUGAAUGAAAAUGACAUUUUGUGCAACGAAAGGUGAAAAUAGAGGUAAAAAUGCCAAAAAAAUAAAAGGUAUGAACGUUUUGCACAAUUACAUUGAAAUAUAUAGAUGUUUUGUGCUACUUACCCUAUCGAAUAAGAUCAAACUAGAUGUGAUAAAAAUUUGUCAACUAAUUUAUUGGUUACUGAUAUUCGAUCAAGGCAUAUUGAGACGGUCUAUAAUUGUCCACGAGAGUCUAUUCCCGUUAUGUCACCCACAAGGAGUUGUCACAUUAAAAGGCAUAACUCAUCACAAAAUCUAAGUCACCGUAGCUCAUAUCGAGUCAAUGCAUCAUGACACUCGAUCAAACAAAAGAAAAAACAAACUGUAAAAAAAAGCCAACAUAGUAGCAAGACGCUAAAUUUUGCAGAAACUAGCUUUGCAAGAAGGUACUCAACUAGACACCAAUGUGACAAACACCAGAAAUACAAGAACAUGACAUUAAAGUGCAUUAGGUAUGUAAAGACGAUAUGGCCCCUAAUAGAAUUCCAAAAGAUGCAACAUCCAAUCUCUAUUAUCCUAUGGUAGAUAGACAUUUAUUUUCUCAUUCAAUGCUUUAUUUAACUACACAGGCUGCAAGAUUCUUGUACACACAAGAUUUCUUGCAUAAAAUCAAAUAAUCAAAAAUAUUAUGGAUCACGGAAGUUUUAUCUAAUAAAUAACAUCUCUUGUGAGAUCACAUAAUAUCAAAGGGAAAACGCUUGUCUUCAUCUCCACUUUUCGGUGAAAUUUUACCAAUAAUCCACAAACUCAAAACUUAUAUUUGUAUUUGGUGAGAUCAUAAAGAAAGAAAUAGUGUACAACAAUUGAUUAUGCUAUAGCACUAAUGCAGCCGAUAAAAAUUAAGAAGCUUGUUUGAACUUUUGCCAACAGUAUAAAAUUCCAACAUUUCUUCUUCUACCGGGUGAACGUUGCCUACUAUGACGAGGCAAUGCAAAGGUGAUCCAAAAUCUAUUGUCAAAAGUUGCUUCAUCGAACCUGCGACUAUUGCUUGAUCUUCACUGCCUACUCGAGCCAAACCAACACAUGAAGUGUCCUUAAUAUAUGCUGCAAUUCGGAUAGCGUGCAAUGAUCAGCUCAGGUUUAUAAUGAUUGUUGUUAGUGGUUUCCACUCAUAUCAUGAAGUGAUUCUUUUUAUUUUUAAUGUGCAACUCUUAUUAUAACUUCGUAGGAAUUGCAUAAAAUGGCGAGAACUCAUGAACAUACCUAAUUCUCUACGGUUUUGCUCAAUCUCUAAGAGCUAUUCAAUUGCAGCGUUUAUUGUCAUAUACCUUGGUGGCUCAUACUCUCUUUUUCCUCUGAAAUAUCACGAGCAAACAUGUUAAUAUUGGUCCAAGUAAUUGAAUGUAUGUGCAGGAGAAAAAUGGAGUGAUGGAAAAUAAAGCAAGGUUGAGUUCUAUAAUGAUGGGACAUAUUAGCCUCGUCACUAUGCACAAGGAUUCUAGUGAGGGUUCCAUCACUCGUAUAUCUGAAAAUAUCAAAAUGUGCAGUAAGUUUCAAAAAAUACAGACAUUUAAAAAUUAACCACUACAUAUCAACUCCAAGAGUAUAAGAAUAAAAAUGUUGACUCUACCUAACAAGCAAAGUGUGUGCAAUCCGAGUGUUCUAUUUCUUCUAAUAUUUUCGUAAAAACUAUCAGGCCUCCAGCAAGGACGGAUCUAGCCACUCGAGUGAUCUAGGGCGGAGCAUCGAACGACCAUUCAGCGAUCAUCCAAUAGAGCAAGAUUGUUUAUUAAUAUUUAAUUAAUUUAUAUUAAAAGAAUCUUCAAUCAAUAUAUAAAUACAUUAAAAUAUAAAAAAUCAUAUACAUAUGAAAAAAUAAUUCUACACAACCCAAAAUAAUAAAGAAUAAAAAUACAUUUUUUGAAUCAUAUAUGCACGAUCAAAUUUCAAAUUUUAUGAACUUACACGAGACAAGAUGAAGUUUAUACGUACAAAGUGAUUAAAUGAUAAAUACAAGCUUGGAGUUUAGGCGUAACCUAUUCAAAAUUUUUAAAACGGUGAAUUUUAGAUAUAUUUUUUUACCUUAAAAAAGAAAAGUGUUUUUCGAACACUUAAAAAAAUAAAGAUCGGUAUUUAAAAUAGUUCGAAUUUGAAUUAAAUUAAUAAUAUCUAACAAUAAAAUUAUAUAAUAUAAAGCAAUAAUUUAAGCCAAUAAAUUUUUAAAACGGUGAUUUUUAGAGCUACUUUUUACCCCCAAAAAGAAAAAUAUUUUUGAACUCUUAAAAGAACAAAAAUCAAUACUUAAAUUGUCCAAAUUUGAAUUUUACAAAAUAAAUUGAUAAAAAAAAUGACCCAAUAAAAUAUAUAUUAUGAAGUAAAAACUUGAGUUGACAAAUUUCUUAAAGAAAUUAUUUUCGAAACAAAAACUAAUAAUAUAGAAUUGUUUAGCUAUUAUUUAUUGUGUUAAAAAUCAAUAGAAGAAGUGGAGAUUAAGGGAAUUGAACUCCAUGCCUCUCAAAUGCAAAGCUAACAAUUUACCAUUUGAGCUAUAGCAUUUUUGUCCAGGAAAGUAGACACUAAUUUUAUAGAGUUAUUUAAUUAUAUAAAAAAUUCAAAAGACAAGGUGGUGGAAGAGAGGAAUCGAACACCAUGCCUCUCAUUUGCAAAACAAGAGCGCUACCAUUUAAGCCACAACCACUUUGUUGUGAAUGAAGUGAAGCUAAAUAUAUUUAUUUUUUACACUUCAUUUAUAUGCAAAAUUUUCUCUCGCCAGAGCCAGCACGGGCGGCUGUGCCGGCUAGCCAGGUGCUGGCUCCGUCCCUGGCCUCCAGUUCUCUGUGAAAAAAGGUAUUGAAAUUGUCUCCCCAUACCGAUAAAGCUAUAACCCGCAAACUCCAAUUGCAUUCAUCACUGACGCAUUGUGUACCACCUUAACAUCAACCCCCAACUUCUUCGCUCAGACAACAAGAUCGUGUGGGUUGUUGCUCUUUAUUGGUCAUAAAGUAGUAAUCACAAGCCAACAAAAGUUGAUGGCUCGUUCGUUCUUUUUUUUUUUUCUUUUAAUAACUUCUGGGCGCCUGUAGAGUUAGUUUUAUAAAUUUAUUUUGUCUCAAAAGUAAUGAAGAAUUUGAGCAGAUAUAAAUGCGUACAAGAGAGUGUUAUUUACCAAAUCUACUGUAAGAAAAUCAUUUUAUUUUGCUUGCGUCAGGUUAUUAUACAUUCUCUCUUUUUAGAAUCUUACCCUAGAGCAGAAGCAUCGUCGAUGAAUUAGUUUACUCAUUUGGGAAGAAUGAAUAGCAAGGUGAAAGUUUUGAGAUUGGGAAAGGUAUCUCCAUUAUUGAUAUGUUUGGUAUAUUUAAACUCGACAGCUGACAAAUAUAUGAACACAGAUGCUUACUUUUUAUGACUUUCUAAUGCUGCUAUUACUUACAUGCACCUUGUUUUCGACACAAUUUUUUUACUUGAGCUUGCAAGGUUUUAUACAGGUAAAUCAAUCCAUCCAAAAGCUUGAAUGGUUAUAAAUGUAGGAAUUGGUUCAAAUAAUUAACCAAAAAAUGGAAAAUGAAGAGGUGUGUAAAAGUGGAAAAUGAAAAGGUUUGACUACGUGUCAAUUUCGACUAAAUAUUUGGACUUGAUCUGAUGGUCAAAUUAUAAAAGUAAAUAGAUCAACUUAUUCUACUCAUUGAGUAGAUCGUCGUGGUAUAUUUGGAAUCUCGAAACUAAUUACGGAUGAAUGAGAAAUUACGGUCCAAAGUUGGAAGAAAUGAAGUGUUGCAACUUUUCGAAAGGAUGCAGGUUUUGGCCAAGUAUUGCAACUUUUUGAAAGGAUGCACGUUUUGGCCCACACUACUUCAUUUGCACCCUUUCUGCAUCUAUAAAUAGAACCCUAUGAACAUGAUUUUGGGUACACCAAUUGUAUUGAGCAUUCAUUCUCCUUUUGCAAUUCUUUCAUUUCUAAUUCUAUAGCAUUUUCAUGCAUUUCCUUGGUAGAGAGAGAAUUCCAUUUGAGUUCGCUGGUCGAAGUCAUUUGGAGUGCUCUUAUGGCUUAACGUGGUCCUUGUAUUUUGGGAGAUGAUUUUCGAAAAAUCAUUAGCACUGAUGCUGGGCAAAUUCAUCUUAAGGACCAAGUGUUAAACACUUGCCUCGACCAAAAAUUCAUCACUUGCAUCUUUCUUCCUACAGUUUUCUGAUUUCUUUUGAUUAUAUUUUGAUUUCGGGAAAUGAUUAACAUUGUUUACAUGUUUAUGUUGCAAGGUUCGAUCAAAAGAAUAAUUUGCUUACGUUCAAGAAUCAAAAGGGGUGAAUCCAUAUUCAUGCAUUCAGAUUCGGUAACUUUUAUAGUUUUGCUUCUCAAAUCCUAUUUUUGUAAGUCGAAAUUACGUUUCGAUUUUACGCAAAUAACCGGUAUACUUUUGUGAAUAUAAUAAGCACGUAAUCCGUGUAAAUUUCCCCAAUAAUCUUAAGAUGAAUUUUGUUGAUUUUCUCGUGCAUUUUAUAUUUACGUUCUUGGAAAUUAUAUAGUGUGUAAUUCUGAAAAUUGUGUAUAAACACGUGAAUUUGUAAACUGACAAUUGGUUAAGCACUUAAAUUAAUGGUAUAUAUGAUAUUCCAAAUAAUUGUACUUGCCGAAAUUGUGAUACCAAUUGGAAAGUUGGCAGUUUUUUGUUGGCAUCUUUUAAUUAAACAAGUGGUUUUGUGCAUGAGGAAUCUUGAUUGGGUGUUUGUGUACUCAUAUUGAUGGUUCUGUUCUCCAUGAAACAGAAUUCGUGCAAAAAUAAUUGGAGCCAGAAUGUCUUAAUAUAUUCUGAUGAAUUAAAUAAAAUAUGCAUAUUGUUGAAGGAUGUAUCUUACACAUUUCUAAAAUGGCAUGAAUUGGUCUUUUACCAUAAGUUGUGCUACCAAGUAAAAUUGCCUUGCAUACGAACGAGUGCUUAUACGAAAAGAUGCAUAUUUAAUGAAUAAGUUAUUGGUUUAAUGAUAUUAAAUAAAUUACAUGAAGGGUUGCUUCAAUUUAUCUAGUAAUUAAUUACUUGUGCAAUUGUGAAUUUAAUUAUGUUUUAACUGCCUAUUAUGCCGUCCAUUCGGUUAUAAUAUGAUGAAAAUUUUAAUGUUGCAAUUGUUACACAUGGCUGCUGUAAUGUAAGUGCAUGUGACUUCUUGGUUUAAAUGCAACUGUGAUGGCACCUUUAACGCUAGGAUUAUUGAGUCAGUUCAAAAUUAAAUGAUGAAACGGCCAUUAAAAAUAUGAUAAUAAAAGAAUGGUUGCAAGCCCAAUACGUGUUUUCAUGAGACCAGUUGGUUCAAUUUUUAAAUAACCAUUUAUGCAGACAUAUACUUCAAUUGCAUGAUCAUGGAUAUAAAUGAAUUUGGUGGCAGCCUUUAUUAUUUGAAUUAUGAAAUUGUGGCAUGGUGACCUUUCAAUUUUAAUUGCAAUUUAAACCCUGUGUCAAAAAGGGAUCUAUUUGACUUGUCUAAUUCAUUAUGUAAAGAAUCUUGAAUUGUUUUUUUUUAGCCAUGAAAUUGUUAGAUUCUAUGAAUUGUUUAUUGGCGUGAAAAUUGAGAACUAAAUCGAUUUUGCCAUGGAAUUAUACGUAAAAGUGGGUUAUUGCACAUUUUCGAUUUGUUAACUUUGUGCAAAAUGGGACUCCAAAUCAUGAUAUAUGGUGGGUUCUAUUCAUGGAAUAAAGUUUCAUUAAAUAUGUGUUUAAUGAUAUAUUUAUUCUCCAUUCACGUUGGAUAUUAAAUUCUGACUAUGAUUCAUUGAAUUAUAAAAUACAUUUCAUGCCUCAUUUUGUAACUGUCAUUUGAAUAAAUAUUUGAAAAUAAAUUAUUUGCACAUGCUCUCUUAAGGAUGCAUAAGUUUUGACAUUCACCCAUAUGAUUAAUGGUUGGAGUUUUAAAAUGCAUACUAUGUAAUAUAGUAUGAUAUUCCAUAUGGGAAAAUUCUAAAGUGUUAGAAUUUUGUGAAACAAAGGGCAUGAAUUUGGUGACUUUUCAUUCUAGUAUGAACUGAUAACACCUGUAAAAUUUGGUAUAUGCAUAUACUGUAAGCUGGUAAGCUGCCAAAUACGGUAAGCUACCAUAUACGGUAAGUUGCAUAUACGGUAGGUCGUAUAUACGGUAAGCAGCACGCAUAUACGAUGAGUUGCAUAUAUAGUAUGCGUCAAUCCGGUAAGUGACAUAUACGGUAUGUGUCAAUACGGUAAAUUGUAAAUCCGGUAUAUGUCCAUUCGAUAUUGGUUUGAAAAUAAUACAAACCUUGAUUUAUGAUAAUAGCCUCAUUUAAUUCUAUGAAAUUAAAUGAGAUGACUUAUGCAAAAUUAUAGUUGCAUAAGAGUAUGAUAAAAUGAGAUUUUGUCCUAAUUAUAAUGGAAAUCAUUAUUUAGUAAUGAGAAUUCAGUCGCUUAUUUAUUUGGAAUUGUUGGAAAAUUGUAGAAAAUUUCGCAUAGAAAGAUGUGUCUUUUCAUAUGGAGAAUCAUGACUUUUGGUAUGAUUAAUUUCCAAUGGGUGUGUCUCUUUAUAUAGAUUAAUUCAAGAGGUGCGUCCUCUUGUAGAAUUGUGUCUUUUAAGAACACAACUUUUCAACCGACGGUUGAAAUGAAACUAUCAUGUGAAAUGUCACAAUUGUGACAAGUUGCAUAUGUUUGAAGAAGUUGCAAUGCUUAGCCCCCUUUAUUGUUGAAUUUGACUUCAAUCAUGAAAUCAAUUAAGUUGGUAUAUGCUUGGAAAACAUUGUUGGUCCAUAUGAUGGCCUUUAUUUAGUUUGGAUGAUCAAAAUUAAUUAGAUUGAAGUACGUUAUGUGCAACUUUAAUUGAAAUAAAUUGUGAGUCAACGACCACUACUUUGAAAGUAUUUAGACUUUCACGAAGCACUCUAUACGGAUAUUAUCAAAAGAUAAAUGAAUAGAACUAUGAAAAAGUUGCUGAAUCCUAGGUUCAAUUGUAACCCAAAGAUGUGGGGGUUAUCAUAAAUAAUCGUGAACUUGAAUGAAAAGUUUAAAACUUAUGGAUGCAACGUUACUAGAUUGCAUAUGUAUUCUUAAUUGAGGAAUUGUGGGGGUAACUCGUGAACUUGAAUGAGAAGUUUAAAACUUGUGAAUGCAACGUUACUAGAUUGCAUAUGUAUUCUUAAUUGAGGAAUUAUGGGGGUAACUCAGUUUAACAGUUACGUUUACUUCUAUCUUAUAAUCAAAGAACGAUACCUUUUGAUGGUGGAAAGAUAGAAAACCCUUAUACUAAUUAUAAGGAUCAUAUAUACUAAGUCUAAAGUGGAUAAAAUGGGUUGUAAAGCCGAUUAUGGCGUUUGUUUAGACAUGCAAGAACAAUUGGAAUAUAUGAAGAAUAUUCAUAAAGUUCGAAUACAUGGUAAUGUUUCAAUGAUGAUAUUGAAUACCCACGAUUCUAAAAUUCACUUGUAAACAUGGUUGAUUAGUGUAAUAAUUAGAUAGAAAAUCCUCUAACAGUAUUGUUUGAAAAUUGAUAAAGUUUUAGAUAAAACUAAUGAGGCAUGUAGCUUCAUAAGAGGAUUUCUUGGUGGUGAUAAUUUGUAUCAAUCAAAUAAAUCGAUCAUUAGCUAGAAAUAUUUGAUAAGAUACUAAGUCAUAAGUAACGGUAAGUCUAGACGUAUAAGUUAUAGACGUAAUACCGUUAAGCAGUUGAUCUCAAUAAUGUAAACUUGUGGUACCUUUAAAGAGAUUUACUAAGAAAGAUCACGAAUACUGCAUAUCGAAGGGAAUGAGGUAAAGCCUACUACGUUAGAGUCCUUGUAAUGGUAACUCUACCUUGUUGACUAGAGAUCCCAAUAUCUUGGUUCAAAGAGACAACUAAGUUAUGGGGAUUCCACGAAGCAUUUAGGAAAAUAAUUUCCUAACUCAUUAUUAAAGUGUUUUCUGUAGAGUUGCAAGAGGUUAAGAUAAUCUUUUAAUGAUUCUUAAAUCUUGAUUAAGUCAAGUGGAGUAAGGCAGAACACUCUUAAUAGGAGGUCACCUAUGUGAGUAUGAAGUGUGGUCGCUUCAAUAAGAAUUAUUCAAAACUUAAAUUCUCUAAACACUCGCAGAACCAAGGGUUCAGGGCCAAAAUGAACCAAGUCAUGAGAACCAUGAACGGUUUAGAGAAGACAUUGUGUGAGUAUCAUUGUCUUGACUUAUACUAAAGGCUGAAUGGUUCAAGACAUCACAUUCACCAAUUAGCUAAGUAAGUCCGAUGAUAUUUCACUAAGGGAGGUUCAAGGCCAGAAGCUACCUUCCCUGAUGCAGUGUUUUUUUGCACCCUCUCUACAUUGCAUCAUAUCAUUGCAUUUGCAUAUACGUACCCAAUUUCCAUUCAUGUGGGGGAUUGUAGGAAUUGGUUCAAAUAAUUAACCAAAAAUUGGAAAUUGAAAAGGUGUGACAACGUGUCAACUUCGACCAAAUAUUCAGACUUGAUCCGAUGGCCAAAUUACAAAAGUAAAUAGACCAACUUAUUCUACUCGUCGAGUAGAUCGUUGUGGUAUAUUUGGAAUCUCGAAACCAAUUUCGGAUGAAAGAGAAAUUACGGUCCAAAAUUGGAAGAAAUGAAGUGCUGCAACUUUUCGAAAGGAUGCAGAUUUUGGCUGAGUGUUGCAACUUUUUGAAAGGAUGCAUGUUUUGGCCCACACUAUUUCAUUUGCACCCUUUCUGUAUCUAUAAAUAGAACCCUAUGGACAUGGUUUUGGGUACACCAAUUGUAUUGAGCAUUCAUUCUCCUCUUGCAAUUCUCUCAUUUCUAAUUCCAUAGCAUUUUCAUGCAUUUCCUUGAUAGAGAGAGAAUUCUGUUCGAGUUUGCUGGUCAAAGUCAUUUGGAGUGCUCCUAUGACUUGAUGUGGUCGUUGUAUCUUGGGAGAUGAUUGUCGAAAAAUCGUUAGCACCGAUGCGGGGCAAAUUCAUCUUAAGGACCAAGUGUCAAACACUUGCCUCGACCAAAAAUUCAUCACUUGCAUCUUUCUUCCUACAAUUUUCUGAUUUAUUUUGAUUAUAUUUUGAUUUCGGGAAAUGAUUAACAUUGUUUAUAUGUUUAUGUUGCAAGGUUCAAUCAAAAGAAUAAUUUGCUUUUGUUCAAGAAUCGAAAGGGAUGAAUCCAUAUCCAUGCAUUCAGAUUCGGUAAUUUUUAUGUUUUGCUUCUCAAAUCCUAUUUCGGUAAGUCGAAAUUACGUUUCGAUUUCACGCAAAUAACCGGUAUGCUUUUAUGAAUAUAAUAUACACGUAAUCGGUGUAAAUUUUCCCAACAAUAAAUUAGACAAAUUUAUUAUUUAUGUUUAUUUUAAAUGCAAUGGUUUAGAUGUACACUGCUCAUUUUUGAAUAAUGCUAUUCAUCAUUAGUUGUGAUCACUGGUUUAGUCCAAGUAUCAUACGUUGAAUUUUUUAAGAUUUUCUUUGAAGAGUUUGAUUCGCCAACAAAUGUUUCAAUCAGGUUCCUAUUCAUUCAUCAUGCAUUACCAAACUUAUCUUGUCUGUCUUCAUUUUCAAACAAAGGAUGGUGUUGUGUUGAUAAUUGAAUAGAUUCAGCCACUCGCAGAAAAUGACUUCCAUUUUCACUCACAAUUUCAGGCCAAUAAUUCCACAUGAAUUUUGCUUUAACAUCAAAGAAUAGACGGUGUGUUUGACUGUAAGCAUGAAAUUUAUAUAAAAAUAAAUAAAUUUUAGAAAAUUGAUUGCAUGUAAAUUAUUAAUUAAUUAUGUUUGAUUGGUCUAAUUUUCAAUGCAGAAAAUGUUAUAUUUGUCCAUAUUUUAUUGGUGGUUAGAUGAAAGAGGGGGUAGAUAAAAGAGAGUGAAUUGUCUAAAAAACAAAAAUUUAUCCUUCCCCAUAUAUAUAUAUAUAUAUAUAUAUAUAUAUAUAUAUAUAUUUUUAAUAAGGAAAAUAUAGUCAUAUGACCAACUUUUGAAAAAUAUCUUUUAUAGAAAAAAAUCAAUCAAACAUCAAAAUUAAGAACAUUUUCAUGGAAAAUAAAGUUAAUCAAAGAUACUGUAAGUAGCAUGUGCAAUCCAGCUGACCUUAUAUGAUCCAAAUCAACUCCCAUUAAACUCAAAAUCACAUUGUUUUUUCCGCUCCAACUGUAUCCUAAGCGGGGUUUUUUCUACAAUUAACAUAAUUAACUUAAAUUAGGUAGAAAUCCGCUCAAUUUAACAAUAAAUAAUCAAGUUUAAAAGUUCAAAUAAAUAUAUAAAAUACAUUUAUCAAGUGCGAGCAGGUAGAAUUAGGUAACCAUUUUUCAAAGAACUGAUAUUUUUCCCGAAUCAAUCAACUUUAGGUGUUAAUGCAAAUAUGAUUAGAUUCUCAACUAGUUGUUGAUUAAGAUAAUAGUUGUACUGCUGCCAAAGUUCAACGCACUUGAUUUAUAGCUUUUAUUGAUGUUAACUGUCAACAUAUAGAAGACAAAUCAAAAGGCCAGAGAUUAUCCCGUGAGAACAUAGGUCAUUAUUAAAUUAUUUUCUACUAUCCGAACAACACAAAUAUAGAUAUAUUUGAUGAUAUCGCUCGACGACUCUAUAUUGUAUAAUAAUAAGAUUUUUAAUUUUUUCUACAAUUCAAUACAUCUAGAUUUUUUUAUUAUUACUAUUAUUUUUUUCUAAUACAGUGUAAUUGAACCCAUAAAACUAAAAUACUUUCCAAUAUCUUGGUUUCUCAAUUAUAAAGGUUGAACCCUAACCUUAAGGGCUUCCACCGCCUCGCCCCGCCCCUAGAGCUUUGUGAGAGAAGUAAAUCUCGGGAUGUGCCCCAACAGGCUAAGAAACAAGAGUUGUCUGUACACUGCGCCUACAAGGAGUCCAAUUUCAUGUCUCAGGAAUCGAACCCCCAAAUUGCGACUGCCAGCAAGGCGUGAGAUAACCCUACUCUUGUCAUUUACACUAUUGGACUAUGUCCGGGGGGCUUGGUUUCUCAAUUAUGAAAGUAUUUUUAAGUGCAUUUAGGAGGCAGUGAAUCGGGUUAGUCCACUAGCUUUCGGUGACGUAUAAUUUUUUAGUAUUCUUGAUGGUAGGAUGAAAGAAGGCUUUUAAGUGCAAUUCGUAAAAUUAGAUGGGAACUCAGUGUAAGAUAAAGUAAGAUUUUAGCUCCAUUUUUCCCCCAAUACUCAUAUUGUUCAGCCAAAGCCGAGUCCAUGCUACCGAAGACGCAAUAAAAUACAUAAAUAAAGGACACGAUGAUUAGAGGUAAAAAAAUCUGUUUGGUCUUUGAACUUGUAUUUGUACUAUUUUUUAUGCUUAUCAACUUAAUUUUCUUACAUACUUAGCACUGAACUCGCUUUUUCUCACCUUGUUAUUCAUUGAAGUCAGAUAAAUCGCUGCAAAUCUACAGAAAUAGAACGCAAGGACAGAAAUCCCAACCAUUUGCUACCACUGAGCAACUAAUACUCUAAAAUUGAACCCGCUUUUCGAGUUUCACAACAAACACUUUUUUUUUUUGUAAUUAAAAUCAUAUUUUGGAAUUCGAUUUUCUCUAGUGGAUUCACCAGUCGUUGACACUCCCCAUGCAAAACGUGCAUAAAAGUCACACAUUUCGUUAGUUUCUAUUAAUCUAUUCGCUAGAAGUGACGCUGAUAAGUAAAAAAACUAUCAUCUUUGUGCACAUUUCAUUAACUAAGAAAGUGAAAGUCAAUAUUCAAUAUGCAAGAGAAGAGGUUCAGUAACUUAAAAAAAGAGUACACGUGUAAGUUCAGUGACCAAACAGAUUUUUAACCUUUUUUCUUUAUUAAAGUUUGAAUGAUUUUCUAAUUGAUCUUAAAGAAAAACCAUGCGAUAUACCUACCAAACUUACGUACUUUCUCAACUUUUCUAUCCAUAGAUAAAGAGGAUGGGAAAAUUAAUUUUAUUUGGUUUCCUCAGCAACACUGUUACGGUGAUCGAAUAUUUUUGACAUAAUGGUUGCGACAUUCCUUCGCAUCAAAGGAACUUCAAUAGCACGUUCGUUAAUUAAAUAUAUCGCUUCCGUCAUCCUACAUCAAGAAGGUGAAUAACAACAAGGAAGUGGGGAAAUACAGAAAGCCAAUGGCACUCAGAAGAAGAAUUUGCAGACUAAUAAAGGUUGUAGAGGAGGUAGAUAAAAAAAAAAAAAAAAAAAAUCCCAGAUAAAGAGAGGAUAGAAAAGAGAAGAAAGAGAUAGAUGACAAAACUAUUUCAUGAAGAAAAACGGAAAGUUGUGUUUGUUAGUUUGAGAGAGACCUGAGAAGUAAUAUUUGUGGAGACGAGGUGGGAGAAUACAGAAGAAGAGUAUAGGGUUUGGCUAAGGAAGGCAGUUGUGUGGCUAAAAUAUAAAGAGCCAAAUGAGGUAGUUCUGGAGAUAGUGGCAGCGGUGGUGCCAGCAGAAGAGGGUGACAGAGAUGCUAUCUACGGUUGAGAUUGCUGUGAGAGGAUCAUUUAUUUUCCUCAUUUGUGUUGCGCUCCAAUGCCAUGCAAAAAUUUACAUUUGGAGCUAAAAAUAAUUGAGCAACCUAAAUUUGUAGUCUAAGUUGUGCUCUGAUAUCAUGUAAAGAUUUGCACUUAGAGCUAAAAAUAAUUGAAUAACCAAAAUUUGCUUCAUGUAUUGACAAUAUUCAUGUUGUUAGAAGUGAGCCAGUCAUAAUACCAUAGUGAAUACAAAGUAAGAGCAAUUCUGCUUGACUUGAGGGUGUUUGGGUUGUUGAAUAAAAUUAGAUUUUUAGUAGAUUUUGAUAGAAAUUUUUGAAAUGUGUGAUUAAAAAGUUGUCGGAUCCAUGAAAGAUGUAGUUAAUAUUGAUUAUUUGACUUUGACUCAGAUUAAAAUUUGAGCCAAACAGGAGCUUAGUUUGUGUAGCUUAUACUACAAUUAAUUUAUAAAAAGUUAAUAUAUACUAGAAUUGUAAUGAAAAGUUGUCUAAGCUUUGUGGAACUUUAUCUUUAAAAUAUGCUACUGAAGUCUCAUUGAUUCAAAUAAAUAUGAGAUACGAUUAUGCUUUACUUUAGAAUCUCAAAAAAUAUGCAUUAAAGACACAUAGAUUUCACACAAAUACUAGAAAUUGGAGAAUAAACCCCACAAUUCUAUUUCUUUUAUUAAAAAAUUAAUCAAAAGUUAAUGAAUACACAUCUCAGCGUCCCUUAUAAAGAUUGCAUAUCCUAAUUACAAAACCUAAUUUUGAUAAAAAAAAAAUCAUAAAAAAUAAUUUUUAUGACAAAAUAAUUAAUAACCCCCAAGUAAAUAAACUGAUAUUAAAAUAAAAUAAUAACCAGUGACCCGCGAGCAUUUUUUUUUUAAAUUCCAUUUGCCGACUGCAUCACUAACCCACCUGGGCCACCUCAAUAUUUUACUUAAUUAAGGUAAUAUUUUUUUAAGUUAAACGAAAAUAGUUGUUGAUAAUAUUAAAAUAUAUUACAUGUUUUGAUUCCUUAAUUCAUUAAUACCUUUUUUUUUUUUUAACAUUCUAAUUGUCAGUUUAUUACCAACACUCUAUUCAACAAUAGAGACAAAGAAAGCUUAAGAGAGGCCUCAGGACAGGUGAGGGCUAUAGUUGUGAUACAAUGAAGUAUUUGAAGAAGAAAGUGAUAUAUUUCAUUUAUUAAUUAUUACCUUUCAAAUCUUAUUUUCACGCUUCAUACAUGUUUACGUAUAUAAAAAUAUUAAAGGUUCUCAAGAAAAUAUUACAUAUUAAAAUUAAGGAAAUUUGCAUUUUUCAUUUCCUUUUGGCCAUUAAAUGAUGGAUUUGUCAUUCUCUUUAAAUAACAAAAAUAAAAGAAACCAGUAAAACAAUAAAAAUAAGGAAAAUUAUGAAUGGAGUAAAAAUAAAUCCCACUUAAAUAAUUAUAUACAUAUUAACAAGUAAAAAAAUAAAAAUAAAAUUGGAGGGGGUGAUUGCUUUAGUAGUUGUGUGUUGACGAGGUAGGAGAGCUUGGUUUUUAAAGAAAAAUGAGUUAUAUAAUAGUGUUUUUUAGAAGAUUAACGAUAUUUGCACAUCAUGAUUUACAAAUUGAUAUAUAGAACAAUGAUAUGGAAGAAAGAGAGAGAAAAAAAAAGUCAAUUAAUAUAAUCCACAUCAUCAUUCCGUAAAUCAAUUUGUAAACCAUGAUAUACAAAUAGUAUUAAAGAAUGUAUAAUUAAAAAAUAAGGAAAAAUUUUAAAUUUAUGUGUAAAAUUAUUUAUUUUAUUGAGAGAAUAAAGAGUAACAAAUAUUUUAUAGAGCCUUCACUGUGUAGGCUCCACAUGUAUUACUUAAAAAAUAAAAAAUUAUGUGGUAUGUGUGUGGCUUGGUAGGGACCUGUUAAACAGGUCCUGUAAGCCUAGUAGAGUUCAAGAAUAAAUGACCGAUAAUAAAUUUUUAAAAAAUGGAGCACGAACAGUAAUCAAAUCGUCGAAACAAAUUGUAAUGGUACGAAAAAUAGCAAAACGGCGCGUUAAGUGAGGUGGUACUUCAGCUCAUCUGCCACCAUUCAUUUUGUUGAUCUAAUAGCAUUUAAAUGCUCACAUCUGUAUCUUCGGCUAAUAGCAUUUAAAUGUGCACACCUGCAUCUUAUCCACAUCUGUAUCUUCGGCAGAUUUUUAUUUUAUUUUAUUAUUAACAUUAUUAUUUUUUUAAGCACUUCUGAUCAAAUAUAUAUUUUAGCCCAUGUUUGAUCCUCAUUAAAUUACAUUUCAUUACAUUCUAUUUUUCUCUCUUCUAUUUUCAACCACAUAAUCUUUCAUAAAAUAAUAUUACACGUAAAUUUAAAUUUUUUCCUUCUUUUUCAAUCACUCAUUUUUUCAACAAAAUACUGUUCCUCCCAUUCUCAUUACCAAAAAUGGGGCCCAAACAUGGCAUAAUCUAUAUACUUAGUAGGAAUAACAAUUAUCAUUUCUAUCUAUUAACGACACACACCACCACAAUUUAUGAAGAAGAAAAAUGCUACUUAAUCAUUUUUGCACUUUUAAGAAAAUCAAUUAAUGAUUAUUCUACUUGAACAUAAUGAACACCGUAAUAGUGUCCAUAAUGUUCAAAUGGCACCCCUUUAUUGGAGGACAAGCGCUUCCUCCAAUAGGGGGCACCACUUGAACAUUAUAGUGUCCAUUAUGUACCACAAGCAUUACUCAUCAAUUAGUAAUACUUCAGCGGCACCUAACAUUAUAUUAUGAAAAAGUAGAACUUGAAACACUAUAAAAAGAUUAUAUGAAAAAUUAUAAUUAGUUUUAUUAGUUAAAUUAAUAAAGUUAUGUAGUACUGUUGGUCCCAUAACAUUAAUGUAUAUGUUUUUAAUCGAUAGAUCAAGUUUCAUGUCCUUCCUUUAAAAUGAUGUAUCAGUUAAUUAUACGUGAAUGCCCCACACACAAGUAGAAUCGACUAUGCUAAAUAUCAUUACUCAAAUUAAAUAUAUAAAAAUGUAGUUAAUAAUAAUUUAAAUUUUAAUCACUUGUUAAUCUUAUUAUAUUACAAGAAUUAAACUUCGAAAUUAUGUAAAUUAUUUGUUGAAGGUGAAAUUAAGUUAGUUCGUUUUUAAAGUCCAUGAAAAGUCAAUAAUAACUGUAAUGUGCAAUUGUUGAUCUAUGCAUUCAAAUAUUAUUUGGUAAAAAAAUCUGUAAAGUUUCAGUUUUCAAAUUUUAUUAAAAUUUUUUUUGAAAAAAUGGAAAAUUCUAUUAGAAUUGUCCAUACGGUUUUAAACGUCUUAAAAGCUUGGGUAGUUAAACUUUCUCUCUUAUUGUCUGUCUGGAGCUGCUUCUUCAGUGGCUUUUAAGCAAAAAAAAGAGUUGUUACCAACAUUGCGGGUCCCACCCGAGAGAGGAAUAGUCAGAAAUGAUGGCCACUGUUGAAAACUAAAGAUUUUUUGACCAUAAAAAUCCAUUUCAAACAGUCUCUUAUCCACCGUCCUCUCUCUAGGUGUGAACAAAGAUUAAGACGCAAAAAUGGCUGCUGUCCUGUUUGGCGUGCAAAAAAUCAUAUACAUGGCUUGGAGUAAAACUAUAAAACUAUGGUCAUUGCUUGUUGAAUCAGUGGUCAAAUAUGGAAAUUGUUGGAUCAAAAAUUCAAAUGGCUAUUGAAUUUUGUACAAUGUCCUUCAUUAGCUGGUUAGUUAAAAAUUUAAAAAGUUUUCGAAGGGUUGUUGAACUUAUCAAAUUGUUAUCCCAUUUCAUCUUUAAACUUUGAAAGUUUUUUGGAUUGUAAUUGAAUUUAUCAAACCGUUAUUCCAUCUACCACUUAAUUUAUUCACCGCUAGAAAAUUUGAUAGACUCGCUGAAGUGACAAAUGAAACACUGAUAAAAAUACGUUAUUGUCAUUGUUGACGACAAAUCAGCAAAAAAAAUGCACUUAUACAAUAAUAAUAUAUCAAGAUUGCGAGUUCGUCAAAUUUUCUAAUAUUCAGUUCUUAAAUAGUGGAUGAGAUAACGAUUUGAUAAGUUCGGUGACCAUCCAAAAAACUUUUGAAGGUUCAUGAUCAAUGAAUAAUAUCAUGUAAAGUUCAAUUGCCAUUUGAAUUUUUAACCCCAAUCUUUUAUGUUCAAAUCUGGAAUUAGAUUACUUCUCAUUUAAAACCCACAUAAAAGUUCAUAAUAAUUUUGCAAUGUUUAGUCCAAUUUUUCAAAUAUUUUGCUUAAAAGUUUACUCCUGAUUUCCAAAUUUCUUUGUGUAAAAAGUAUAUAGUGCGAGAUAAAUAAAUAUGCAAAUUUCGUGUAAAACUAUGUUCGAACAGGAAAAUAUCCCAACACCCUUCCGAAAACUAUCCCAUUCACCCUUGUCCUUGCAUGGAAGUGAAUAUUCGAAAAGUACUUUUUUUUUUUUUUUUUUUUUUUUGUGGGAGAAGACACAAUUAAAAAAGUAGAAAAAAAGUUAUGGAAACAUUUUAAAAUUAAUAUUUUUAAAGAAUGUAUAGUUAAAAAUAAGCGGAAAAAAUAGAUUAUCAAAUAAUCGCUGUCAAACAAAAGUCAAGACAUUUCUUUCCUUUUCAUUCGAGGACUAGGACACGUGAAAAACUUCUGCCAUAUCAAUAACGUGGAGCAACAUUUCUUUCCUUCUCAUUGUAGGAUUAGGACACGUGAAAAACUUUUCUCCUACAAAUAACGCGGAGCACUCCGAAACCUUAGUUCUUAACAUGGAUAUAAACCUAAGAGAAUUCAAGUUAGAAUCGUAGUAGGUAUUCUUUGCUUAAUUUCUAGUGCACUCCAUGCGUAAAGGCGUUGGUUAAUUUCUUGUAUCGUAAAACUAAAACCCUCCUUUUGGUUUAGCUUCUGCGUUGAAAGAUACAGAGAAGAAAGGCAUAUUAAUACAAAUCAAGAAACCAAGAUGAUCCGAGUAAUGGAUGAAAGAGAAGUCAGUCUUCAUUUACAGGCAAUUCCAUGCCGAUUGUUGAGGUUUCUUGUUCCUUUUGGAUUGUUCAGAACAUUCGCAGGCCAAAUAUGGAGAUUAUUUGCAGGCCAAUGCCAGAAUUUGUGCGAUUUCAUAUCGGUGAAGCUUGCAGAAGAGGCAGCGAAGCCUGUGAUUUUGGGUCCCCCUUUACAUGAUAAGUGUAAAUGAUGCCAUGGAAAAGAACUCAUUCAUGUUCGACUUACUUUUACUAAUAGUUAUUGAACUUUAAUAAUGUGGAGAUUUUUACCUUUCUUAUACAGAUUCUUCGUUAAUUGUGUUUUCUUGAUUUAAUUUUAUGUACAGUAUUACGUUUGAAAGAAAAUUGCAGCAUUGGUCACCAAGUUGUGAGGUUGAGCAGCUACUUUUAUGUGUUAAUAAAGCAUCGUGACCCUUUGGUGGGUCGAUCAAUUGCAUUGGGUAAUAGAUGAAGGAUCUAUCUUAA